GGGGAAUAUUGCACAAUGGGGGAAACCCUGCUGCAGCGACGCCGCGUGAGUGAAGACGUAUUUCGGUAUGUAAAGCUCUAUCAGCAGGGAAGAAAAGAUGACGGUACCUGAGUAAGAAGCCCCGGCUAACUACGUGCCAGCAGCCGCGGUAAUACGUAGGGGGCAAGCGUUAUCCGGAUUUACUGGGUGUAAAGGGAGCGUAGACGGUUUGGCAAGUCUGAAGUGAAAGGCAUGGGCUUAACCCGUGGACUGCUUUGGAAACUGCAUGACUGGAGUGCAGGAGAGGUAAGUGGAAUUCCUAGUGUAGCGGUGAAAUGCGUAGAUAUUAGGAGGAACACCAGUGGCGAAGGCGGCUUACUGGACUGUAACUGACGUUGAGGCUCGAAAGCGUGGGGAGCAAACAGG
This 405-nucleotide ribosomal RNA is filed under the name uncultured bacterium. Its description in RNAcentral is "bacterial SSU rRNA". It matches the Rfam family "Bacterial small subunit ribosomal RNA", at positions 356 to 776 of the family's 1533-position model. The record is from RNAcentral.